This 662-nucleotide ribosomal RNA is filed under the name uncultured eukaryote. RNAcentral describes it as "eukaryotic LSU rRNA". The stretch from base 213 to 367 matches the Rfam family "5.8S ribosomal RNA". The record is from RNAcentral.
UAAAAGUCGUAACAAGGUUUUCGUAGGUGAACCUGCGGAAGGAUCAUUAAUGAAUUCGGGCGCUCGACUCUGAAAUAUUGAGAUCGGCCCCAUUUCUUAAUCCACUUCACACUUGUGCACAUUUUUCCUACUUUCCUUCGGGAGAGUUUGAAAAGCUCUUGUGAUUUUAAUCAAGUCCAGGAUGUGAAUCCAAUUUGAAUAAGUUGUAAAACAACUACAAACGGUGGAUCUCUUGGCUCUCGUAUCGAUGAAGAACGCAGCGAAACGCGAAAUGUAAUGUGAAUUGCAGAAUUCAGUGAAUCAUCGAAUCUUUGAACGCAUCUUGCACUCUCGAAUCACUAUCGAGAGUAUGCCUGUUUGAGUGUCGCGAAACUCUCAACCCCGCCUCAUGCUUUAUUGCGUGUGGGUAGCUUGGGCUUGGAUCAUGAUCUUUGCAGUAAUGCGCUAGCAGAACUGCUGGAUUGAAAUACAACAAGCUGAAUCUAUAUACUUGCGGCUUGACCUGUCGUUGUAGGCACACAAAUGCAUUCGAUGGGGACGCGAGAAAAUGGAAUGAGCUUUCCAAAUGUGUUACACUUUGCAGCUUCUAUUAACUUAGAGCUCUUAGUGCAUUCUGACCUCAAAUCAGGUAGGAUUACCCGCUGAACUUAAGCAUAUCAAUA